GCUGCUCGAAGCUUUGCACACCUCUCCGUGGUGAGCGGCAGGCAACGCUGAUAAGACGUAAGCGAUUGCUUACGAUAGGGCGGCUAAGAAUGCAGAG
This 97-nucleotide ribozyme is filed under the name unclassified sequences. RNAcentral describes it as "HDV ribozyme from F. prausnitzii". It matches the Rfam family "HDV ribozyme from F. prausnitzii". The record is from RNAcentral.